AUAUUUAAUGGAAGGAGAAAAGUGAUCACGAAGCGGUUCUCCCGGGACGAGGCUCACCAUUGCCCCCGGGUUUUUGCUGACCCCUGCGUUAACCAAAUGUGGUUAACUCGAGUGCCAAUUUUUGUUAGCGGGGGGACUGCUUUUCGCCUCCCCCCC
This is a small nuclear RNA of Penaeus monodon (black tiger shrimp), 156 nucleotides long. RefSeq annotates it as U1 spliceosomal RNA. NCBI's taxonomy places the organism in Eukaryota, Metazoa, Arthropoda, Malacostraca, Decapoda, Penaeidae. The transcript has a single exon. The record is from RefSeq and is a predicted model, not a curated record.